This 206-nucleotide long non-coding RNA is filed under the name Gossypium barbadense (sea-island cotton). RNAcentral's name for it is "long non-coding RNA (GBAR_LNC013597)". The record is from RNAcentral. Lineage: Eukaryota; Viridiplantae; Streptophyta; Magnoliopsida; Malvales; Malvaceae.
GCUUCCUUUUUUGGUUUAGUUGUAAAUGAUAAUAGAUCGAUCUCUUGAAUUUGUUUUUUAAAUAUGGUUAUGGGUUUAUCUGAUGGAUUGAGAAAUAUAAUGGGGGGGGGGUAUCUGCCAUUAACAAUCGUGUCUCAGAGUUGACUGUUAAAGAAAAACAACCACCCGGUGUGAGAUUAUCCAACAAAUAUGUGGGUAUUUUCACC